GACGAACGCUGGCGGCGUGCUUAACACAUGCAAGUCGAACGGAAAGGCCCUGCUUUUGUGGGGUGCUCGAGUGGCGAACGGGUGAGUAACACGUGAGUAACCUGCCCUUGACUUUGGGAUAACUUCAGGAAACUGGGGCUAAUACCGGAUAGGAGCUCCUGCUGCAUGGUGGGGGUUGGAAAGUUUCGGCGGUUGGGGAUGGACUCGCGGCUUAUCAGCUGGUUGGUGGGGUAGUGGCUUACCAAGGCUUUGACGGGUAGCCGGCCUGAGAGGGUGAACGGCCACAUUGGGCCUGAGAUACGGCCCAGACUCCUACGGGAGGCAGCAGUGGGGAAUAUUGCACAGUGGGCGGAAGCCUGAUGCAGCAACGCCGCGUGCGGGAUGACGGCCUUCGGGUUGUAAACCGCUUUCGCCUGUGACGAAGCGUGAGUGACGGUAAUGGGUAAAGAAGCACCGGCUAACUACGUG
Molecule: ribosomal RNA, 468 nt
Filed under: uncultured bacterium
Lineage: Bacteria
Description: partial 16S ribosomal RNA
Rfam family: Bacterial small subunit ribosomal RNA
Source: RNAcentral